UCCUGUGUGGCUCAGUUGGUAGAGCAUGGUGUUUGCAACGCCAGGGUUGUGGGUUCGUAUUCCCACAGGAGGAC
Molecule: transfer RNA, 74 nt
Filed under: Salmo salar (Atlantic salmon)
Lineage: Eukaryota; Metazoa; Chordata; Actinopteri; Salmoniformes; Salmonidae
Rfam family: tRNA
About the family: Transfer RNA (tRNA) molecules are approximately 80 nucleotides in length.
Source: Rfam by way of RNAcentral